AUCCCUUUCUUCCUCAUAUCCUCAUUCUUCUUUUGUUCCUCUUCAAAAUCCAAAAUUCGUCACUUCCUUGGAGCAGCCGAGAACUCAAAUUUCGGAAGCUCAAAUGAGAAAACCUCCUUCAUAAAAGUUGUUCACUUAUGUGAUUCCUAUAACAUCCUCCAAUUUCAGCUCAAUCCGACUUGCAUAGGCUCUGAAAAGUUGGUGUUCUACUCUGCGUAUUUUCAAGGACGAACCCGCACAAGGUUAAGCUAGCUGGACAAGAGAGAAGAGGGGGCCAACAACGUUUUGAAUCAGAGAAGAAACGGCCACCAAGAAGAAGAGAGAAGAGAAGUCGAACUGACCCGCUGUCGCCUCCGCCUCGCUCCUCUCAGGUCAGCUUCUCUUCUCUCUCUGUCUUUCAUCUCGUCACUCAAUCUCUGGCUUUCAUCUCAUCUGCUAACUCUCUCUCUUUCUCUUCGCCGCCACAACAGAGCAAGUAAGAGAUGAAGAAGACGGGAAAAAGGUUAGACGGAGGAGGGAGGUCGCUCUCUGAACAAAAGCAGAGGGUUCUUCGUUGUCGUUUGGAGACCUUCAAGCACCUGCGCUCCUCCUCUCUGGACGAAAUCGUCCACCAACUUCGCAAUAAUUACCGAGACUACCACCGCAUCAAGCUCCAGUCUUUCACUAAGUUCGUCCAGCAAACCCUAGACUCACCUUCCUUUAAGCAAUCCAAAACCCUAAUCCAUGUCAGUGACUUAGAAGAAGAUGAAGAUGAAGAAGAAGAAGAAGAAAACGGCCAAAGCAAUUCCCAGAGAAGGCGGAAGCGUGCUACCAGUAAGGGCGAGGAUAAAUUGCAGCGAAUGGAGUCUGCUCACCUCAGAAGGUUUCGUCAAAGGAAUGGUGACCGUCCAUCUACAUCUUCUUCUUCUGAUGAUGCUGAUGAAGAUGGGUCUGUGUCGACGUCGGAGGACGCGAUAUACAGCGAGAAAGUGGACCCGGAGUUUGAUGUGAUGAAAUCGAGUCUCCGAGCGUCGUAUAUGGAAUCGAACAGCGCCUUGAAGCCCAAGGCAGCCGAGGAGCAGAAGGAGAAGAAUGUAGAAAUGGAGCUUCCUGCUCGCGAGCAAGUUGAGUUAAUGGGUGGAAAUGGAGGGCCAAGGCGGCCAAAGACAUUGCUAACACCUGAAGCCAAGGGCUCGGUUUCUACAGGGGUUGAGGUGAAGGGAAGCGAGGGUCCGAGGUUUAGUGACUUAGGUGGGAUGGAGAAGGUGAUAGAGGAGCUGAAGAUGGAGGUGAUUGUGCCGCUGCACCAUCCCGAGCUGCCUCGGUGGCUCGGAGUCAGGCCAAUGUCUGGGAUUCUGUUGUACGGCCCACCCGGGUGUGGCAAGACCAAAUUGGCUCAUGCCAUUGCCAAUGAAACCGGCAUUCCGUUUUAUAAAAUUUCUGCUACAGAAGUCGUCUCUGGUGUCUCAGGUGCAUCUGAAGAAAAUAUAAGAGAGCUUUUUUCUAAAGCUUAUAGAACUGCCCCUUCAAUUGUAUUUAUUGAUGAAAUUGAUGCAAUUGCUUCGAAAAGAGAAAGUUUGCAACGAGAAAUGGAGAGGCGAAUCGUGACACAACUAAUCACUUGCAUGGAUGAAUCUCAUAGGCUUGUACAACGGGCUGAUGCAAAUUCCAACUCCGAGAGUUUUGAUAACAAGUCUGGCUAUGUUCUUGUUAUUGGAGCUACCAAUAGGCCUGAUGCUGUUGACCAUGCUCUGAGGAGGCCUGGGAGAUUUGACCGUGAGAUUGUUUUAGGUGUUCCAGAUGAAAAUGCCAGGGUUCAGAUUCUUUCUGUGCUUACACGCAAUCUAAGACUUGAAGGUUCUUUUGAUCUUCUUAAAAUAGCCAGGUCUACACCAGGGUUUGUUGGGGCUGAUUUGGCAGCCCUGGCCGACAGGGCUGGUAACAUUGCCAUGAAAAGGAUUAUACACAAGAGAAAGACUGAUAUGUCUAUAGAUUCUAUGCAUGAGGAGUGCAAUGAAGAGUGGUGGAGGCAACCAUGGUCGCCUGAAGAAAUGGGAAGGCUUACUAUCACUAUGGCUGAUUUUGAGGAAGCAGUUCAAGUGGUUCAGCCUUCAUCAAAAAGAGAAGGAUUCUCUGCAAUUCCUAAUGUAAAAUGGGAAGAUGUUGGUGGGUUAGAUCUUUUAAGGCAGGAAUUUGAUCGUUAUAUAGUUAGGCGUGUUAAAUAUCCUGAGAACUAUGAGGAAUUUGGAGUAGAUUUAGAGACAGGAUUUUUGCUCUAUGGGCCUCCAGGAUGUGGUAAAACACUGAUAGCGAAGGCUGUCGCUAAUGAAGCAGGAGCCAAUUUCAUUCACAUUAAGGGCCCUGAACUUCUGAACAAAUAUGUUGGAGAAAGUGAGUUGGCAGUUAGGACAUUGUUUAGUCGUGCAAGGACAUGCUCACCAUGCAUACUUUUCUUUGAUGAGGUGGAUGCCUUAACAACAAAGCGGGGGAAAGAAGGAGGAUGGGUUGUUGAACGGCUAUUGAACCAGUUGCUUAUAGAGUUAGAUGGUGCAGAGCAGCGGCGGGGUGUGUUUGUUAUUGGUGCCACUAAUAGACCCGAUGUCAUGGACCGUGCUGUAUUGCGGCCCGGUAGGUUUGGUAAACUUAUUUAUGUCUCCCCGCCCACAAAAGACGAGCGUGGUUUGAUUUUAAAAGCUCUUGCGAGGAAGAAGCCUAUAGAUGCCAGCGUAGAUCUCAGUGAGAUUGGACAAAGGGAAACUUGUGAAAAUUUUAGUGGAGCUGAUCUUGCUGCACUGAUGAAUGAAGCGGCUAUGGCCGCUCUUGAAGAAAAACUGACAUCCACACCUGAGAGGAAUUCAGAUGCAUCUCCAUGGACUAUCAAAGACACUCACUUUGAGCAAGCACUGGCUAAAAUUGCACCAUCUGUAACAGACAAGCAAAUGCAAUACUACCAGAAAUUUGGAGAGAGCCUCAAAGCACCAAGAAACAAAGCCUAAGCCAGAAAUGUCCCAUUGAAGAGCUAUAAACAACCCUGUACUCAAAGAAAUCCUGGUAAGCAGCAACAUCUCCAAAAGCUGCUUCUGUCUUUGUAUAUUGCAUUGUCACUCCCGUGCUAGAAGAAACUGUUUACAGGUGAUUUUUACUAUGGUCAAUUUCGUCCACUAUGAAAUGGAAGUCAGCAGUUUUGAUAAGCUCAGCUAUUUUCAGUGCAGCUCACCUGUCUGAUCAAUGUUAUUAACUCAGACGAUGGCUUUGAGUCUCACAAUAUGCAAUCACAUAGUUGAACCUGUCAGUUUCAACACCAGAAACAGACAAAGACUCUUCUCCACAAGUGCAUUUUCUGAUAAAUGAAAGAGUAGGGCUUACAUAAAAAAUUACUGAAUAAACGUGAUUUGCAUAUUUUCCUUCUUUUUGAUUCCUUCUUUGGUUAUCCUUGAAAGCCAAGUCUUGAAGUUGGUUUUGCCAUCCAAUUAGAGAUUGAGGCCAUAACAUAGGAUUGCCAUGAUUCUUCAGAUCAACUGAAGAUCAUCUCGAGUGAUUUCGUAGCAUCUAGGAUUCAAUUUGCCCAAGAUUUUAGCUUCCCUUCUCUUUUUAUUGUUAUCUUCAAAAUUUCUAUGGAAUUUAGUAUUCACCUCUCCAAAUCUACUUUCACAGUUUUGUUCACCAUAGAAUGUCAUAUAUGUUAAAAUUUCUAGCAGAGUGAAAAUACUGUGUUUUUCCCGUAGCCGUGCACUUGCAGGCCAGCUAAACUUGAAUGUUAAUAGAUGACUAGACCGCUGGUAACAGUGCAUAGUCAUAUAUGCUCGGCCCACCUUCAUUCCUUAUCCUAUCCAAUAAAACUUCCACAAUUUGGACAUGCCCUGUUCAUUCUAGAAUUAUGCAUGAAAAUAGGAGUACCCAUAAUGUAGAACAGGCAGACGUUUAGCUGAGAAUGUAUUUUUUGUGGUCGAAAGCCGAGAAAGUUAGGAGAGAAUGGAUAGAAAGAAGAAGAUUUGGGUGAGGUGAUUAAGGAAGCUUAAGUUUUAUUCAUCGGUCAUCAAGUGUGAAGAUAUUUUCAAAUGCCUCGCGUGAUCGAGGCACCAAUAUUUUCGAGCAGGAAUUUUUUGUGUGAUAAUAAAUGGCAAAAUGUAACAGAUUGUUGAUUGAUUUUUUUCAAUGGCGGCUCAAGCACAUGGUUCCCAUCGUUCAAGCGAUACUUUGAAUGAACCCAACACAAGUCCAACACUUGGGAAUCCACUUAUGGAUAUAUCUUUGAUUGUAUCUAUUUGCUCAUAUACUGCUAAUGGAGCAGUGAGACAUUCUUUAUCUUGGUUUGAGGAGCGUCAUGAUAUUAUUUGUGAUAUUCUUUUUGAAGAUUGUGAUUUGUAGUGGCUUAUGAGACUUUGGCAUGUAGAGGAGGGGUUGAUCUAUUAGGGGUUUUGGUUCCUUCUAACCGCUUUUAGCUUAGAGCAUUGGCAGCAAAGGGCUCAAGGGGAGGGUUGGGGGGGACCCAAAAACAGGUUUCCAGCAACAACAAGCUGCCAGGGCAAACAGUGGGGCCCACAAACCUGGGCAAGCCCGAGGGGGAGGUUGGCCCGAGCUCCAGCCCGUGGGCUGGGAUGACGUCAGCGCUGCUGUUUAAUUUUUUUAAAAGCUGGUGCGUGCAAUACACGCGCCCGGUUUAAAAAAAAUUUGACGCACGCUACAGUACCCCUCCCAACGGCAAUAUUACACGUGUCGCAUGCUGGGCCAUCCGAUCUGCAUUUUAAACUUAUCCAACUACAGCCAUUUUUUCGCGAAUAAAAAAAUCGAAAAAGUAACCUCCAACGGCUCUAUGCCACGUGGAAGCUCCUGGGCUCUUCGAUUGGUUUUUUCCAGCAAUCCAACGUGAAACCGGUGGAGGAGCAUGGAGCAUGACGGAAGAUAUUAGCUUGUGUGAGGCUUGGCUCCAAGUUAGUCAUUGUCCCGUAACGGGUAAUGAGAUCAAAUUCUGUCAUAUGUGGAAAAAAAUUUAUCAGGAAUUUUGUGAAAGGGUAAUUGGUUCGACCCGUACGGAUCAAGCAUUAUCUAGUAGGUGGAAAAUUCUUAAUAAAGAGUUGGGAAAGUGGAGAGAUGCCUUGACAAAAGCGAUGAACAACCAUAGAAGCGGGCAAAACC
Non-coding RNA from Prunus mume (Japanese apricot), 5115 nucleotides. The record is from RefSeq and is a predicted model, not a curated record. Lineage: Eukaryota; Viridiplantae; Streptophyta; Magnoliopsida; Rosales; Rosaceae.